This 1134-nucleotide ribosomal RNA is filed under the name Triticum aestivum (bread wheat). Its description in RNAcentral is "partial small subunit ribosomal RNA". The record is from RNAcentral. Lineage: Eukaryota; Viridiplantae; Streptophyta; Magnoliopsida; Poales; Poaceae.
AUGUCUGGAGCAACCGCCGCGGGCGCGAUCGCCGCUCUCCUGCGCGCCCACCGCUUGCCCAUGCUGCAUUCGCCGUUCGCGUGCUCGCUCGCCGCGGCCCGCUCACUGGGCGCGCAUCUCCCUCUCCGCGCCGCGGCGGCCGCCGCGCCGCUCUCCUCACGCCUCCCCCUCGUGCGCCUCCGCUCCGGCGCUUCGCCGCGCUUCUUCUCCUCCUCCUGCGGCGCCCCUGGCAACGCUGUCUCUUCCUCGGCGGCGGAGCAUGAUGAGCCGCGGAAGUCGGAGCUCAUCUUCCUCGGCACUGGCACCAGCGAGGGCGUCCCGCGCGUCAGCUGCCUCACCGACCCCUCCAAGACUUGCCCCGUUUGCACCAAGGCAGCAGAGCCGGGGAACCGGAACCGAAGGCGCAACACCUCCAUUCUCCUGCGUCAUGUCACGCCGUCUCGCACUUCUAACAUCCUCAUCGACGCUGGCAAGUUUUUCUACCAUUCCGCGCUCCAGUGGUUCCCUGCUUUUGGGUUGAGGGAGAUUGAUGCUGUCAUUAUUACUCAUUCUCAUGCUGAUGCAAUUGGAGGCCUUGAUUGUCUUCGUGAUUGGACGAACAAUGUCCAGCCCUCCAUCCCAAUUUAUGUGGCACCGCGUGAUUAUGAGGUGAUGAAGAUGACACACCACUAUUUGGUCGACACAAGUACGGUUAUACCUGGUGCAGCAGUUUCAACAUUACAAUUCAACAUUAUGAAAGAGGAACCAUUUACUGUUCAGGAUCUUGAGGUAAUUCCUUUGCCUGUAUGGCACGGUCAGGGUUACCGUUCCCUUGGUUUCCGUUUUGGUGACAUAUGCUACAUAAGUGAUGUCAGUGAUAUACCUGACGAAACCUAUAAACUUCUGGAAGACUGUCAACUUCUUAUAUUGGAUGCUCUUAGACCUGAUCGUUCUUCUUCAACACACUUUGGAUUACCUAGGGCCCUCGAGGAAGUCAGGAAAAUCAAACCAAAAAGAACGCUGUUUACCGGGAUGAUGCAUUUAAUGGACCAUGAGAAAGUGAACGAUGAUCUUGCCAGGCUGAUGGAAACAGAGGGGCUUGACGUCCAGCUUAGCUAUGAUGGUCUCAGCACACCUAGACAGAGGGAAGAAUGA